Molecule: ribosomal RNA, 485 nt
Filed under: uncultured bacterium
Lineage: Bacteria
Description: partial 16S ribosomal RNA
Rfam family: Bacterial small subunit ribosomal RNA
Source: RNAcentral
AGUGAACGCUGGCAGCGUGCUUAACACAUGCAAGUCGAACGAGAACGGAAUAUAGCUUGCUAUAUUUGUCAGCUAAGUGGCGCACGGGCGAGUAAUGUAUAGAUAACCUGCCCUUAAGAAAGGAAUAACAGUUUGAAACGACUGCUAAUGCCCUAUAUGCCUUUAAUACAUAAGUAUGCAAGGGAAACGCUUUAGUGCUUAAGGAUGGGUCUGUAUGGUAUCAGCUUGUUGGUGAGGUAAUGGCUCACCAAGGCUAUGACGCCUAACUGGUUUGUGAGGGUGGUCAGUCUCACGGAAACUGAGACACGGUCGAGACUCCUACGGGAGGCAGCAGUUGGGAAUAUUGCACAAUGGACGAAGGUCUGAUGCAGCAACGCCGCGUGGAGGAUGACACAUUUCGGUGCGUAAACUCCUUUUAUAUAUGAAGAUAAUGACGGUACUAUAUGAAUAAGCACCGGCUAACUCCGUGCCAGCCGCCGCGGUAA